UUGGUCAUUUAGAGGAAGUAAAAGUCGUAACAAGGUCUCCGUAGGUGAACCUGCGGAGGGAUCAUUACAAGUGACCCCGGUCUAACCACCGGGAUGUUCAUAACCCUUUGUUGUCCGACUCUGUUGCCUCCGGGGCGACCCUGCCUUCGGGCGGGGGCUCCGGGUGGACACUUCAAACUCUUGUGUAACUUUGCAGUCUGAGUAAACUUAAUUAAUAAAUUAAAACUUUUAACAACGGAUCUCUUGGUUCUGGCAUCGAUGAAGAACGCAGCGAAAUGCGAUAAGUAAUGUGAAUUGCAGAAUUCAGUGAAUCAUCGAAUCUUUGAACGCACAUUGCGCCCCCUGGUAUUCCGGGGGGCAUGCCUGUUCGAGCGUCAUUUCAACCCUCAAGCUCAGCUUGGUGUUGGGACUCGCGGUAACCCGCGUUCCCCAAAUCGAUUGGCGGUCACGUCGAGCUUCCAUAGCGUAGUAAUCAUACACCUCGUUACUGGUAAUCGUCGCGGCCACGCCGUUAAACCCCAACUUCUGAAUGUUGACCUCGGAUCAGGUAGGAAUACCCGCUGAACUUAAGCAUAUCAAUAAG
RNAcentral lists this ribosomal RNA (583 nucleotides) under uncultured fungus. RNAcentral's name for it is "eukaryotic LSU rRNA". The stretch from base 224 to 377 matches the Rfam family "5.8S ribosomal RNA". Lineage: Eukaryota; Fungi. The record is from RNAcentral.